This is a long non-coding RNA of Populus nigra (black poplar), 1087 nucleotides long. RefSeq lists it as uncharacterized. NCBI's taxonomy places the organism in Eukaryota, Viridiplantae, Streptophyta, Magnoliopsida, Malpighiales, Salicaceae. The transcript is spliced from 2 exons. The record is from RefSeq and is a predicted model, not a curated record.
ACAGUUUUAUAUACCCUCCUCUCCUCCUGUCACGAGCCAUGGCUCUGCUUUGUGUGGAGGACACAGUUCCCCACAUGCCUGAUAUAUACACAGUAGAAUCUGCAAUCUUAACUUUAUCUGCACCAAAUCGAAUUUCUUAAGAUUUUAUGCGAUAACAGGCAUGAUCCGUCACGCAAUUAUAGUUGGGAUCGCAGAAAGUUUAGGAAAGUGACAGAAAUAUGCUGAACAACUCCAAGUGAUAAAGAUCAUGAUCAGGUAAGCGUUAGUCUAUCAGCACGAGGUGAUGGCCAAUGAAUGGAUAGUUGAAGGAGCCUGGCUGUUUGUGGAAUCCGUAGGAGAAACUGUUAUAUUUUGGGCGAAAUCAGAAGCAAAAUCAGUCUGGGAAUCAUCUUGAACAUCUACAAAAAUCAUCAUCUAGAGGCUAGCUAUAGCACUUGCUAAGGUUCCCAUUUGGAAUAUUGGAUAAAAGCAGCCGUGUGAAAAGUUGGUUUGUCGAUAAAUUUCCUUCCUUCUUCCGACCCCAACAAUACAAGGAAUAUCAUGUUUGAUCUUUCAAGAUGCAACGUGUGUUAAUCGGAGUUGAGUAGAAUAAUAGUUUCCGAUAUAAAGUAAGAAGGAUUUUCACUCUCCUGAAAUUUCCACAGAACACGGUAAACACCUGCUUUACACCGCCAGGUGAGGGGGGAGGCCCUAACAUUGAUGUCUCAAAACGAGUCAGGCAGGCGGAACCGCGAGCGUGAGGCAGCCUGAAACGUUCUUUAAUUGCUGCAAAGACAGACAGACGCGUCUUGCAACAAGGGGAGUCAGGGGAUCCUGUGCUGUGUUUGGAAGGAUUUGAACAGAAGUAGGUUGUGCAGAGAAACCUGGUAUUUAGAGGAUCUAUUGAUCAUGGGUGCUUAUGCAGUUGAUCCGCCAUGUGAACACGUUAAAGAAAGUUGAUUUUGAGCUUCAACAGCCCAUGAGGCCAUGGCAGAACAAGAGCCUCGUUUUGAGCUCCAGCUCGAUUCAUGAGGCCAACCAAAGACCUCAGAUUUCAUUGCUGUCAAUGUUCUCUUUUCUUAAAUUACAAUGUGAAAUUUUAACAUGA